UCCCUAGCUCAGAUGGUAAAGUGUCUGCCUGCAAUGCAGAAGACCCAGGUUCAAUCCCUGGGUCGGGAA
RNAcentral lists this transfer RNA (69 nucleotides) under Ovis aries (sheep). It matches the Rfam family "tRNA". From Rfam's summary of the family: Transfer RNA (tRNA) molecules are approximately 80 nucleotides in length. Their secondary structure includes four short double-helical elements and three loops (D, anti-codon, and T loops). The record is from Rfam by way of RNAcentral. Lineage: Eukaryota; Metazoa; Chordata; Mammalia; Artiodactyla; Bovidae.